Molecule: non-coding RNA, 312 nt
Organism: Pelobates cultripes (western spadefoot toad)
Lineage: Eukaryota; Metazoa; Chordata; Amphibia; Anura; Pelobatidae
Source: the annotation of a GenBank genome assembly
AACGAAAAAAAACAACAUUCAGUCUAUCACUGUUAUGGUUUUCACUAAGGCAGUUGGGACAUUGAGUUCCAGGCUACAUGUGUCAGUGUUAUUUGUGUUGUGCAAAAUCUUGUACUGAGUGUAUGUUCAUUCCCAGAAAGAGAUAAGAGCAGAUCCUAUAGAAUAAAAGAUGUAGAUCCUGAUUCAUAAGUAUAUUCUUGCUGAAAGAGUCUGGGUCUGUCCACUAGUGCGUGGUGCAAUUGUCAGUAGCAAGCACUAAGAAAUUUAAAGAAGUUAAAUUUAUUAAGUUAUUUUUUUAACAAAAAUGUAUUU